GAUGAACGCUGGCGGCGUGCCUAAUACAUGCAAGUCGAGCGAACGGACGAGAAGCUUGCUUCUCUGAUGUUAGCGGCGGACGGGUGAGUAACACGUGGAUAACCUACCUAUAAGACUGGGAUAACUUCGGGAAACCGGAGCUAAUACCGGAUAAUAUUUUGAACCGCAUGGUUCAAAAGUGAAAGACGGUCUUGCUGUCACUUAUAGAUGGAUCCGCGCUGCAUUAGCUAGUUGGUAAGGUAACGGCUUACCAAGGCAACGAUGCAUAGCCGACCUGAGAGGGUGAUCGGCCACACUGGAACUGAGACACGGUCCAGACUCCUACGGGAGGCAGCAGUAGGGAAUCUUCCGCAAUGGGCGAAAGCCUGACGGAGCAACGCCGCGUGAGUGAUGAAGGUCCUCGGAUCGUAAACUCUGUUAUUAGGGAAGAACAUAUGUGUAAGUAACUGUGCACAUCUUGACGGUACCUAAUCAGAAAGCCACGGCUAACUACGUG
RNAcentral lists this ribosomal RNA (496 nucleotides) under uncultured bacterium. Its description in RNAcentral is "partial 16S ribosomal RNA". It matches the Rfam family "Bacterial small subunit ribosomal RNA", at positions 28 to 507 of the family's 1533-position model. The record is from RNAcentral.